AUUUAAAUAGUUUAAUUAAAAUAUUGAUUUGUGGUGUCAAAGAUAUGAUAUAUUCAUUUUAGAUU
Molecule: transfer RNA, 65 nt
Filed under: Xylomya moiwana
Lineage: Eukaryota; Metazoa; Arthropoda; Insecta; Diptera; Xylomyidae
Description: tRNA-His
Source: RNAcentral